This 78-nucleotide transfer RNA is filed under the name Bacteroidota bacterium. Its description in RNAcentral is "Bacteroidetes bacterium tRNA-Pro". It matches the Rfam family "tRNA". From Rfam's summary of the family: Transfer RNA (tRNA) molecules are approximately 80 nucleotides in length. Their secondary structure includes four short double-helical elements and three loops (D, anti-codon, and T loops). Lineage: Bacteria; Pseudomonadati; Bacteroidota. The record is from RNAcentral.
CGGAGGGUGGAGCAGCCCGGAGUGCUCGCUUGCCUUGGAAGCAAGAGAUCGCAGGUUCGAAUCCUGCUCCUCCGACAA